This 329-nucleotide ribosomal RNA is filed under the name uncultured eukaryote. RNAcentral describes it as "partial 18S ribosomal RNA". It matches the Rfam family "Eukaryotic small subunit ribosomal RNA", at positions 1470 to 1796 of the family's 1831-position model. The record is from RNAcentral.
CCCUUAGAUGUUCUGGGCCGCACGCGCGCUACACUGAUGCAUUCAACGAGUCUAAAACCUGCUCUGAUAGGGGUGGGUAAUCUUUUGAAUGUGCAUCGUGAUUGGGAUAGAUGAUUGCAAUUUUUCAUCUUCAACGAGGAAUGCCUAGUAAACGCAAGUCAUCAGCUUGCAUUGAUUACGUCCCUGCCCAUUGUACACACCGCCCGUCGCUCCUACCGAUUGAAUGAUCCGAUGAAUAUCAUGGAUUGAGGAUGCAAGCAGGUUCGCCUGUCUUCAUCUUCGAGAAGUGAAGUAAAUCUUAUCAUUUAGAGGAAGGAGAAGUCGUAACA